This is a long non-coding RNA of Mya arenaria, 1705 nucleotides long. RefSeq lists it as uncharacterized. The transcript is spliced from 4 exons. The record is from RefSeq and is a predicted model, not a curated record. Lineage: Eukaryota; Metazoa; Mollusca; Bivalvia; Myida; Myidae.
AAUAACAAGCCGCACUUAUGGACCGCUGACGUCAUUAAACUGGAUUUUCAUCAAAAUACAGUGAUGUACGGCCGGAUCGAGUUUAUAUAUACAAAGAUGGGAUACAAUUAUGUGAGAUACGUAUGACCGGAGCAUGGUCGUCGGUUCACGGACCUCAAGCUGGGUGUGCUCGAGAGAUGGCCGUUCGCCGAUGUCUCCGGUUCCUUCUCUGUCCAAGGCAAAGAUUCGUUCGAGAUAUUUGUGAAUGGCGAACUUCUGUAUUCUAAACUAGAGACUAAAGAAUUUCCCCAAGAAAAACAGAUGUUAGGACGAAUCCAUGACAAAGUCAAGGGAAGACAAGUCGAAAAGCCGCGUGGAUCAUCUUCCUUUUGCACACUAUUAUAAAACGUUAUUUGAAAUGAAAUUUUCCCACAUUUUAUUAAAUUAGUCCAUGCAUGCAAAAUUAAUGUAUACAUGUAGAAUAAGUGCACCUAUCAAUGUUUGGCCUAACGGGGAGGCGUAGGGACACAUAUACAUAGGGGACUUUAGACAUUGAGUUAUUCUCGACGGAUGGGGUUUAUCUAAGACCCGUCGACUUGAACUGCCACUUGGUAGAUAGUCUUGCCCGUCUGUUUCCCAAAGGGUAUUUGAUACCGGGAUCAAAUGUAAUCCCAGGGAUUUUGACAAAUUUCCUUGCUCAAUGGUUGGGUUAGCAAUGCCAACGCGAUGUUGAAGAAUCAGGCGGCAUUGGUGCUAAUUAGCUGUGUCAGUGUACUUCACAAGGUCACAUUAUUAGAAAAUAUUAAAUUUAGCUACGUGGUCACAAAUUACACAGUUAUCAAAAUAUCGCUAUUUUUUCUGUACAGAAACCAUGUGCUUUUUAGUUUUGAUCAUUAAAAACAUAGUGGAUAAAUGUUUGUUUCAGUGUAAGAUCGUAAUAUAUUUCACCGAGUGAGCAUCAAUAUUCAUAUAAAAAGUAUUUCGCUGUUGGUGUUCUCUUUAAUAGAAACAGUGAAACAUCAAUAUUUCAGUGAUACAUCUCUUUAAACCACCGGAAAGCAUAUAAUAGAAAUAAAUUAAACAUGAUUAUGCAUUAAAUAUGAAAAAGUAUCAACCUACAGUAUGCAGCUUUAAGCAACAGCAUCUUAACCGUGAACUUAUGAAGUACACUGACAAAGAUAACUCCAAUGCCACCCGAUUGUACAGCUUCGCGAUAUUGUACGCAUGAACCAUUAUCAAACAAAAUGAGUAUAAAUUAAUAUUUUCUCACGUCCAUGGGCGGCCUGUUAUGCUAGGCGUCUCCCAGCUAGAGUGCAAAUGUCAUAUAGCUGCGAAAGGUUGUUGCAUUGCAUAGUUAUAUCUGAAAUAUAAUUAAUAAUACCAAAUAAUUAAUGUUUAUAUACAUCUUUAUGACUUAAAUGAAAAUUACAAAUUAUUUAACCCUAACCUAAAUAUUUUUCAAUAAUUUAUUCACUUUCAUACUUUUUCAAGCAGUUAGGUUUCAAACUCUAUUCUAUCCAACUCAAUUCAAUACAUUUAUUUGCUAUAGAUUCCUUGAUGACAUUUUUAAGUCCGUCUUUAUCCCUGGGGUAAUAGAUCGCAUCCGGAAGACCAGAAAUUGGCCCCCUACCCACUCUUCAUCACAUUUGUGUUGAUAUGUUAUAUAAUACGGGUGAAUAACAUGAAAUAACCGAGCUUCCAAUGGUCUUUUUCAGAAAGGCUCCGU